Molecule: long non-coding RNA, 448 nt
Organism: Rosa rugosa (rugosa rose)
Lineage: Eukaryota; Viridiplantae; Streptophyta; Magnoliopsida; Rosales; Rosaceae
Exons: 3
Source: RefSeq, a predicted model, not a curated record
CUCCUCCUCUUCUUCCUCACUCGAACUCAUCGCCUCCUUGGCUUCUUCCGCAUCGACUUCGUCCAGUCCUUCAUCUCACGCGCCUCACCAAAUUCCGCGACUCUGACCCCGCAUUUUGCUCCGAGGAGGACGAGGGUAUCAUCCAGGCCGUUCUGUCUUAAUCUCUCAAAUCAAAGCUUGGAGUUUGAGAGGAAGGAUUCAAUUACGAUGCCGGUCGGAGACGAAGUCCAGCUUCGGAACGCCAUUCUCUGUACACCAGAUCUAAAUUUAUCAAACAACACUCUUACUGGGAGCAUUCCUGCCAACUUUUCCGGUCUUCCACUGCUUCAAAGAUUGUCCAUUGCGAACAAUUCACUGAGUGGCAUUGUUCCAGCAUCCCUUUGGAAUGAUACGACACUCAAUGCAACAGAAAGACUAAUCUUAUAAGAACUGUGAGAAAUGUUUUACU